UGGGGUGUCGGCAAGCGGUAAGCCACUAGGUUUUGGUCCUAGCAUUCGGGGGUUCGAAUCCUCCCGCCCCAG
RNAcentral lists this transfer RNA (72 nucleotides) under Candidatus Moduliflexus flocculans. It matches the Rfam family "tRNA". Rfam says of the family: Transfer RNA (tRNA) molecules are approximately 80 nucleotides in length. Their secondary structure includes four short double-helical elements and three loops (D, anti-codon, and T loops). Further hydrogen bonds mediate the characteristic L-shaped molecular structure. tRNAs have two regions of fundamental functional importance: the anti-codon, which is responsible for specific mRNA codon recognition, and the 3' end, to which the tRNAs corresponding amino acid is attached (by aminoacyl-tRNA synthetases). tRNAs cope with the degeneracy of the genetic code in two manners: having more than one tRNA (with a specific anti-codon) for a particular amino acid; and 'wobble' base-pairing, i.e. permitting non-standard base-pairing at the 3rd anti-codon position. Lineage: Bacteria; Candidatus Moduliflexota; Candidatus Moduliflexia; Candidatus Moduliflexales; Candidatus Moduliflexaceae. The record is from Rfam by way of RNAcentral.